RNAcentral lists this long non-coding RNA (1707 nucleotides) under Prunus persica (peach). RNAcentral's name for it is "long non-coding RNA (PPER_LNC006292)". Lineage: Eukaryota; Viridiplantae; Streptophyta; Magnoliopsida; Rosales; Rosaceae. The record is from RNAcentral.
UCCACAAGAAAUUGAACCUAAUGCUCUGAUACCAAAUUGACACGACCCGCCUCGGAUUCCCCCUUGGAACCCACGACGAACCUUAUUUUCCAUCCUACAUUUGGCCGAUGUUGGACCCACCUUACUAAAGUGCUCUUCUUUCUUAAUUUAAAGUUGUAAGGACUUCGACUUCUACCGAAAUGUCGAUAGAGUCUACCCUGUAAGUGGAACAUUUCUCAAUUUACAAUACCUGCAAACAAGCACCAAAACAACCCAACUUCCAGCAUGCACAAGCUUAAGGCAUGCACAACAGUUAAGACUAUUCAAAUGGGCUUCACACCCGCUACCCAAACUCAAAACGAGCAAGCAGAGCAACUAAAUAUUUAGUUUACAACCCGGGGAAAAGGAAAGUAGAGAGAAGAUAAAUGAGGAAUUCCUACAGUGGAGACAGCGGCCAUGCCUUGACGUGGUGGUUUCAACCUCAAAGAUCUAGAACCUGGGGUCGCAAAAUAGAAAAUGUGAGUGGACAAAAACAAAGCGUUCAACAUAAUUUAUAUUCAACAUAAAUAACCCCCUCCGUUUUAGAAAAUUGACGAAACCCGCCCCGGAUUCCCUCUUUGGAAUCUGUGACAAACCAUGUUCCUGUCUAGCAUUUAACCAAUGCCAAGCCCACUUACUAGCAUAACCCUUUCGCCCUCGAUUUAAACAAAAAUUGGGUCGAGACUUCAAUCGAAAUUUCAGCAAAAUCUCCCCUAAAAAAUGGACAUUCCGAAAUUAUAAAUACCUGCAAACAAGUGAUAAAUAAUCCCAAAUGGCAACACACACAAUGCUAAAGCACACAAUUUACAACAUAGGCCUCCGGCCUCAAAUUCAACCCUACAUGGGUAAUAUCAGGGGUUUCUACAAAACUUUACUUUGCAGAAGUAUUAGGAGUUCAAAAAAUAAAACAAAAAAAAUAUCCUACAAGUAGUGGAGUGUGCUAUACAAAAUAUUUGACGUGGACCAGUGAAUCUUGUCGAGUUAUAGCCUGGGGGGCGCAAAACAAGAAAUUGUGAGUGGACAAAAAUUAAAUUUAUAACAUAAAUUAUAUCUAAACAUACUAACCCCGCCAUUUUAGAAAAACGAUGUAAACCAUGAAAUAAAAUCCAUCUUUAUCCAUAUACCAUUAGAUACUUGAAACCUUUAUAUUCCCGACACACACACACACACACACACACACACAUAUACCACAUCAAGAUACGUACCAAGGAAAACAAUCCAACACGAGGAUUGUUUAUUCUCAACCACAUGUCGGGAUCCUGCAUCAUACAAGUGGCUAGAGAUGAGCAGUCCAAUCGGGGGACUAUUGCUCCCCAGCAUGCAUGCCGGGAUCUGCAUUGCACGUGCGGCUGAUCUAGUCAUACGCGUAGACUAACAUCCUGACACACCUCCCAAAAAGUAUAUGUGUGCCAUGAUGGGUCCCAAAGACCAACUCUAAUUCUUUUCCAUAAUUUCAUCAUCCUUUUCAUAACGAACUAGGGGAUGGUACAACACAUGGUGUGUAGUCACACAAAUCCCAUAUCCCAAACCACAUAUUUAUAAACAUAAUAAUAAUACUACCCAAAGUACAACAUAAAAUCAUUAAAACUUCACAACAUCCCAAUUCUAGUAAAACACAUUUCAACCCAACUGAAGGUGGCUGGACGGUGACAAACUCGCCAUCUAAAACUCCGGCGUCGAGUGGAGGGG